This 2877-nucleotide ribosomal RNA is filed under the name Agrobacterium sp. RC10-4-1. RNAcentral's name for it is "23S ribosomal RNA". It matches the Rfam family "Bacterial large subunit ribosomal RNA". Lineage: Bacteria; Pseudomonadati; Pseudomonadota; Alphaproteobacteria; Hyphomicrobiales; Rhizobiaceae. The record is from RNAcentral.
GAAGAAGUGAAUUAAGGGCAUUUGGUGGAUGCCUUGGCAUGCACAGGCGAAGAAGGACGUGAUACGCUGCGAAAAGCCGUGGGGAGCUGCGAAUAAGCUUUGAUCCAUGGAUCUCCGAAUGGGGCAACCCACCUUAAAUGCUUGGAAAAUCCAGUCUGUUUUAACGAACGGCCUGGGUUUCCAAGCAUUGUGAUAAGGUAUCUUACUUUCGAAUACAUAGGGGUAAGAAGCGAACGCAGGGAACUGAAACAUCUAAGUACCUGCAGGAAAGGACAUCAACCGAGACUCCGCAAGUAGUGGCGAGCGAACGCGGACCAGGCCAGUGGCAAUGAUGAAUAAAGCGGAACGAUUUGGAAAAGUCGGCCAUAGAGGGUGAUAGCCCCUUACGCGUAGAACAGUCAUUGUCCUUGAGUAGGGCGGGACACGUGAAAUCCUGUCUGAACAUGGGGAGACCACUCUCCAAGCCUAAGUACUCGUGCAUGACCGAUAGCGAACAAGUACCGUGAGGGAAAGGUGAAAAGCACCCCGACGAGGGGAGUGAAAUAGAACCUGAAACCGGAUGCCUACAAACAGUCGGAGCCCGCAAGGGUGACGGCGUACCUUUUGUAUAAUGGGUCAACGACUUAGUGUAACUAGCAAGCUUAAGCCGGUAGGUGUAGGCGCAGCGAAAGCGAGUCUGAAUAGGGCGAUUGAGUUAGUUGCAUUAGACCCGAAACCGAGUGAUCUAGCCAUGAGCAGGCUGAAGGUUGGGUAACACCAACUGGAGGGCCGAACCCAUAACUGUUGCAAUAGUUCGGGAUGACUUGUGGCUAGGGGUGAAAGGCCAAUCAAACUCGGAAAUAGCUGGUUCUCCGCGAAAUCUAUUUAGGUAGAGCGUCGACCGAAUACCCUCGGGGGUAGAGCACUGGAUGGGCUAUGGGGACUCACCGUCUUACUGAUCCUAACCAAACUCCGAAUACCGAGGAGUACUAGUCGGCAGACACACGGCGGGUGCUAACGUCCGUCGUGAAAAGGGCAACAACCCUGACCUCCAGCUAAGGUCCCCAAGUCAUGGCUAAGUGGGAAAGGAUGUGAGGAUCCCAAAACAACCAGGAUGUUGGCUUAGAAGCAGCCAUCAUUUAAAGAAAGCGUAACAGCUCACUGGUCUAAAUAAGGGUCUUUGCGCCGAAAAUGUAACGGGGCUAAAGCCAUGCACCGAAGCUGAGGAUACAUCGUAAGAUGUGUGGUAGCGGAGCGUUCCGUAAGUCUGUGAAGGCGGACCCGUGAGGGCUGCUGGAGAUAUCGGAAGUGCGAAUGUUGACAUGAGUAACGAUAAAGGGAGUGAGAGACUCCCUCGCCGAAAGACCAAGGGUUCCUGCUUAAAGUUAAUCUGAGCAGGGUUAGCCGGCCCCUAAGACGAGGCGGACACGCGUAGUCGAUGGGAACCACGUUAAUAUUCGUGGGCCUGGUGGUAGUGACGGAUCUCGUGUGUUGUUCANNNNNNNNNNNNNNNNNNNNNNNNNNNNNNNNNNNNNNNNNNNNNNNNNNNNNNNNNNNNNNNNNNNNNNNNNNNNNNNNNNNNNNNNNNNNNNNGUGCGGCGAAGAGGUUCCAGGAAAUAGCUCCACCGUAUAGACCGUACCCGAAACCGACACAGGUGGUCAGGUAGAGUAUACCAAGGCGCUUGAGAGAACUAUGUUGAAGGAACUCGGCAAAUUGCACGCGUAACUUCGGAAGAAGCGUGACCCUUUUGUACGCAAGUAUGAUGGGGUGGCACAGACCAGGGGGUAGCGACUGUUUAUCAAAAACACAGGGCUCUGCGAAGUAGCAAUACGACGUAUAGGGUCUGACGCCUGCCCGGUGCUGGAAGGUUAAAGGGAGGGGUGCAAGCUCUGAACUGAAGCCCCAGUAAACGGCGGCCGUAACUAUAACGGUCCUAAGGUAGCGAAAUUCCUUGUCGGGUAAGUUCCGACCUGCACGAAUGGCGUAACGACUUCCCCGCUGUCUCCAACAUAGACUCAGUGAAAUUGAAUUCCCCGUGAAGAUGCGGGGUUCCUGCGGUCAGACGGAAAGACCCCGUGCACCUUUACUAUAGCUUUACACUGGCAUUCGCCAAGGCAUGUGUAGGAUAGGUGGUAGGCUUUGAAGCAGGGACGCCAGUUUCUGUGGAGCCAUCCUUGAAAUACCACCCUUAUCUUCGUGGAUGUCUAACCGCGGUCCGUUAUCCGGAUCCGGGACAGUGUAUGGUGGGUAGUUUGACUGGGGCGGUCGCCUCCGAAAGAGUAACGGAGGCGCGCGAUGGUUAGCUCAGACCGGUCGGAAAUCGGUCGUCGAGUGCAAUGGCAUAAGCUAGCCUGACUGCGAGACUGACAAGUCGAGCAGAGACGAAAGUCGGUCAUAGUGAUCCGGUGGUCCCGUGUGGAAGGGCCAUCGCUCAACGGAUAAAAGGUACGCCGGGGAUAACAGGCUGAUGACCCCCAAGAGUCCAUAUCGACGGGGUUGUUUGGCACCUCGAUGUCGACUCAUCGCAUCCUGGGGCUGGAGCAGGUCCCAAGGGUAUGGCUGUUCGCCAUUUAAAGCGGUACGUGAGUUGGGUUCAGAACGUCGUGAGACAGUUCGGUCCCUAUCUGCCGUGGGUGUAGGAAUAUUGACAGGAUCUGUCCCUAGUACGAGAGGACCGGGAUGGACGUAUCUCUGGUGGAUCUGUUGUCCUGCCAAGGGCAUAGCAGAGUAGCUAUAUACGGAAUGGAUAACCGCUGAAGGCAUCUAAGCGGGAAACCAACCUGAAAACGAGUGUUCCCUAUCAGAGCCGUGGAAGACGACCACGUUGAUAGGACGGGUGUGGAAGCACAGCAAUGUGUGAAGCUUACCGUUACUAAUAGCUCGAUCGACUUCUUCGU